UGGGGAAUAUUGCACAAUGGGCGCAAGCCUGUUGCAGCCAUGCCGCGUGUAUGAAGAAGGCCUUCGGGUUGUAAAGUACUUUCAGCGGGGAGGAAGGGAGUAAAGUUAAUACCUUUGCUCAUUGACGUUACCCGCAGAAGAAGCACCGGCUAACUCCGUGCCAGCAGCCGCGGUAAUACGGAGGGUGCAAGCGUUAAUCGGAAUUACUGGGCGUAAAGCGCACGCAGGCGGUCUGUCAAGUCGGAUGUGAAAUCCCCGGGCUCAACCUGGGAACUGCAUUCGAAACUGGCAGGCUAGAGUCUUGUAGAGGGGGGUAGAAUUCCAGGUGUAGCGGUGAAAUGCGUAGAGAUCUGGAGGAAUACCGGUGGCGAAGGCGGCCCCCUGGACAAAGACUGACGCUCAGGUGCGAAAGCGUGGGGAGCAAACAGG
Molecule: ribosomal RNA, 429 nt
Filed under: Chloroflexota bacterium
Lineage: Bacteria; Bacillati; Chloroflexota
Description: Chloroflexi bacterium partial 16S ribosomal RNA
Rfam family: Bacterial small subunit ribosomal RNA
Source: RNAcentral